RNAcentral lists this ribosomal RNA (429 nucleotides) under bacterium. RNAcentral describes it as "partial 16S ribosomal RNA". It matches the Rfam family "Bacterial small subunit ribosomal RNA", at positions 355 to 776 of the family's 1533-position model. The record is from RNAcentral.
UAGGGAAUCUUCGGCAAUGGGGGCAACCCUGACCGAGCAACGCCGCGUGAGUGAAGAAGGUUUUCGGAUCGUAAAGCUCUGUUGUAAGAGAAGAACGUGUGUGAGAGUGGAAAGUUCACACAGUGACGGUAACUUACCAGAAAGGGACGGCUAACUACGUGCCAGCAGCCGCGGUAAUACGUAGGUCCCGAGCGUGGUCCGGAUUUAUUGGGCGUAAAGCGAGCGCAGGCGGUUUAAUAAGUCUGAAGUUAAAGGCAGUGGCUUAACCAUUGUUCGCUUUGGAAACUGUUCAACUUGAGUGCAGUAGGGGAGAGUGGAAUUCCAUGUGUAGCGGUGAAAUGCGUAGAUAUAUGGAGGAACGCCGGUGGCGAAAGCGGCUCUCUGGUCUGUAACUGACGCUGAGGCUCGAAAGCGUGGGGAGCAAACAGG